RNAcentral lists this ribosomal RNA (301 nucleotides) under uncultured bacterium. RNAcentral describes it as "partial 16S ribosomal RNA". It matches the Rfam family "Bacterial small subunit ribosomal RNA", at positions 509 to 807 of the family's 1533-position model. The record is from RNAcentral.
CAGUCGCCGCGGUAAUACGAAGGGGGCUAGCGUUGUUCGGAAUUACUGGGCGUAAAGGGCGCGUAGGCGGGUUUUUAAGUCAGAGGUGAAAUCCCAAGGCUCAACCUUGGAACUGCCUUUGAUACUGGGUAUCUUGAGUAUGGAAGAGGUUAGUGGAAUUGCGAGUGUAGAGGUGAAAUUCGUAGAUAUUCGCAGGAACACCAGUGGCGAAGGCGGCUAACUGGUCCAUAACUGACGCUGAGGUGCGAAAGCGUGGGGAGCAAACAGGAUUAGAUACCCCCGUAGUCCCUGUCUCUUAUAC